This 249-nucleotide ribosomal RNA is filed under the name Cladosporium cladosporioides. Its description in RNAcentral is "partial 18S ribosomal RNA". It matches the Rfam family "Eukaryotic small subunit ribosomal RNA", at positions 853 to 1098 of the family's 1831-position model. The record is from RNAcentral. Lineage: Eukaryota; Fungi; Ascomycota; Dothideomycetes; Cladosporiales; Cladosporiaceae.
AGGACCGCCGUAAUGAUUAAUAGGGAUAGUCGGGGGCAUCAGUAUUCAAGCGUCAGAGGUGAAAUUCUUGGAUUGCUUGAAGACUAACUACUGCGAAAGCAUUUGCCAAGGAUGUUUUCAUUAAUCAGUGAACGAAAGUUAGGGGAUCGAAGACGAUCAGAUACCGUCGUAGUCUUAACCAUAAACUAUGCCGACUAGGGAUCGGACGAGUGUUAGUAUUUUGACCCGUUCUGGCACCUUACGAGAAAU